UCGGGAAUUUUGGGCAAUGGGCGAAAGCCUGAUCCAGCAAUGCCGCGUGAGUGAUGAAGGCCUUAGGGUUGUAAAGCUCUUUUACCAGGGAUGAUAAUGACAGUACCUGGAGAAUAAGCUCCGGCUAACUCCGUGCCAGCAGCCGCGGUAAUACGGAGGGAGCUAGCGUUGUUCGGAAUUACUGGGCGUAAAGCGUACGUAGGCGGUGACUCAAGUCAGAGGUGAAAGCCUGGAGCUCAACUCCAGAACUGCCUUUGAAACUAGGUCGCUAGAAUCACGGAGAGGUGAGUGGAAUUCCGAGUGUAGAGGUGAAAUUCGUAGAUAUUCGGAAGAACACCAGUGGCGAAGGCGGCUCACUGGACGUGUAUUGACGCUGAGGUACGAAAGCGUGGGGAGCAAACAGGAUUAGAUACCCCCGUAGUCCCUGAGCGGGCUGGCAAGGCGCAU
RNAcentral lists this ribosomal RNA (447 nucleotides) under uncultured bacterium. RNAcentral describes it as "bacterial SSU rRNA". It matches the Rfam family "Bacterial small subunit ribosomal RNA", at positions 355 to 825 of the family's 1533-position model. The record is from RNAcentral.